AUGACGCUCAAUGUUUGCUCACGAUUUGCUGCACCGAACGCAUUUUGCCUAAAAAUAACAGGAUGGUGGGUCAUAGAAAUUGGAAGCCACUGGGAAGUGCGUAACAACUCAUCUGCCGAAUAAACUAGCUCUGAAAAUGAAUGGCGCUUAAGCGAGAGGUUCUAU
Gongylonema pulchrum is the source of this 165-nucleotide non-coding RNA. Lineage: Eukaryota; Metazoa; Nematoda; Chromadorea; Rhabditida; Gongylonematidae. The record is from Rfam.